UAAGAGCAAUGGGCAGGGAAGGAA
RNAcentral lists this non-coding RNA (24 nucleotides) under Mus musculus (house mouse). Lineage: Eukaryota; Metazoa; Chordata; Mammalia; Rodentia; Muridae. The record is from RNAcentral.